CUAAAUCGAGUGGCGAACGGGUGAGUAACGCGUGGGGAACCUGCCUCAAAGAGGGGGACAACAGUUGGAAACGACUGCUAAUACCGCAUAAGACCACAGCACCGCAUGGUGCAGGGGUAAAAAACUCCGGUGGCAUGGGAUGGACCCGCGUCUGAUUAGGUAGUUGGUGGGGUAACGGCCUACCAAGCCGACGAUCAGUAGCCGACCUGAGAGGGUGACCGGCCACAUUGGGACUGAGACACGACCCAA
Molecule: ribosomal RNA, 249 nt
Filed under: uncultured bacterium
Lineage: Bacteria
Description: partial 16S ribosomal RNA
Rfam family: Bacterial small subunit ribosomal RNA
Source: RNAcentral